GAUGAACGCUGACAGAAUGCUUAACACAUCAGCAAUUGAUUGGUGGCGGACGGGUGAGUAACGCGUAAAGCACUUGCUUCACUGCUAGGGACUACAUUUGGAAUCGAAUGCUAAUACCUAAUACUUGGCGAGAGCUUUGCGUCCCCUUAUCUAGUUGGAUUGGUAACGGCUCACCAAGGCGAUGAUGGGUAGCCGGCCUGAGAGGGUGAUCGGCCACAAGGGGACUGAGACGCGACCCUUACUCCUACGGGAGGCAGCAGUGGGGAAUAUUGUGCAAAGGACCAAAGUCUGAUCCAGCAAUUCUGGGUGCACGAUGAAGUUUUCGGAAUGUAAAGUGCUUUCAGUUGGGAAGCGGUACCAAAAGAAGAAGUGACGGCUAAAUACGUGCCAGCAGCCGCGGUAAUAG
Molecule: ribosomal RNA, 406 nt
Filed under: uncultured bacterium
Lineage: Bacteria
Description: partial 16S ribosomal RNA
Rfam family: Bacterial small subunit ribosomal RNA
Source: RNAcentral